Molecule: ribosomal RNA, 460 nt
Filed under: uncultured bacterium
Lineage: Bacteria
Description: partial 16S ribosomal RNA
Rfam family: Bacterial small subunit ribosomal RNA
Source: RNAcentral
CCUACGGGAGGCAGCAGUGAGGAAUAUUGGUCAAUGGCCGCAAGUCUGAACCAGCCAAGUCGCGUGAAGGAAGAAGGAUCUAUGAGUUGUAAACUGCUUUUGUACGAGGGUAAACGUAUCCACGUGUGUAUGUCUGCAAGUAUCCUACGAAUAAGGAUCGGCUAACUCCGUGCCAGCAGCCGCGGUAAUACGGAGGAUUCUAGCGUUAUCCGGAUUUAUUGGGGUUAAAGGGUGCGUAGGCUGUCGGUUAAGUUAGAGGUGAAAUCCCGAGGCUCAACCUGGGAAUUGCCUUUGAUACUGGACGACUAGAGUGUAUUUGCGGUAGGCGGAAUGUAUGGUGUAGCGGUGAAAUGCAUAGAGAUCAUGCAGAACACCGAUUGCGAAGGCAGCUUACCAAGCUACUACUGACGUUGAGGCACGAAAGCGUGGGGAGCAAACAGGAUUAGAUACCCGUGUAGUC